CCUACGGGUGGCUGCAGUGGGGAAUAUUGGACAAUGGGCGAAAGCCUGAUCCAGCCAUGCCGCGUGUGUGAAGAAGGCCUUCGGGUUGUAAAGCACUUUCAGUGGGGAAGAAAGCCUUGGGGCUAAUACCCUCGAGGAAGGACAUCACCCACAGAAGAAGCACCGGCUAACUCCGUGCCAGCAGCCGCGGUAAUACGGAGGGUGCGAGCGUUAAUCGGAAUUACUGGGCGUAAAGCGCGCGUAGGCGGUCUGAUAAGCCGGUUGUGAAAGCCCCGGGCUCAACCUGGGAACGGCAUCCGGAACUGUUAGGCUAGAGUGCAGGAGAGGAAGGUAGAAUUCCCGGUGUAGCGGUGAAAUGCGUAGAGAUCGGGAGGAAUACCAGUGGCGAAGGCGGCCUUCUGGACUGACACUGACGCUGAGGUGCGAAAGCGUGGGUAGCAAACAGGAUUAGAACCCGGGUAGUC
This 464-nucleotide ribosomal RNA is filed under the name Vreelandella stevensii. Its description in RNAcentral is "partial 16S ribosomal RNA". It matches the Rfam family "Bacterial small subunit ribosomal RNA", at positions 338 to 795 of the family's 1533-position model. Lineage: Bacteria; Pseudomonadati; Pseudomonadota; Gammaproteobacteria; Oceanospirillales; Halomonadaceae. The record is from RNAcentral.